RNAcentral lists this long non-coding RNA (2409 nucleotides) under Homo sapiens (human). RNAcentral describes it as "HSALNT0232347". The record is from RNAcentral. Lineage: Eukaryota; Metazoa; Chordata; Mammalia; Primates; Hominidae.
CAGGGGGAAGCACAUCACACGCUGUUGGCUCAUUCUGGCAGUCCAACCUGGCAUUGUCUUUACACAAUCCUGCAUGCAACUUUUUAUUUACAGUAAUCAGGAGCAGUUCAUCUUUUAUUCCGUAGCAAUAGUUUCAGGGGGUCUCCCUACAAGCAGUCUUUCUCCAGCCAGGAUACCACGCAAUGUUUUAAGUUUCUUUAUUCUUAUGUACUAUGACAUUACAGAACUGUCUUGAAAUUUUGGUGUGAUUUUGCUGACCUACCUUCUGAGAGUAAGAUGCGACCAGACAGCUGACACUCCCAAUACUGGUUCAAAUACCCUGUUCUCUUGCAUUCUGAAGAUGCUCGUCACUCCUGUGGAUUGAUGCAGGGAAAUGGAUACAAACAUGGGAUGGACCUUGGUCAUCGACGUGCUCCAGAUGUCUCAGUUGCAAACGCCUGGACAAUGAGGAUGUUAGCUGAGAAGAGGGAGUCCUGAAAUGCCAGUUAACCCAGCAGAAGUUGAUAAGCUCACUCACAGCCAGGGACAUGGUUUCCCAGGUAUACAGUUCUAUUGUAAAGGAGGCGAUGGGUUUCUUCUCCUCUGCCGACCCACUGAAUUUUAUAAGAAAAGCCAGUGGGCUCCCAGACAAAGUUAAAAAGAACAGAAUGGCAAUUUUCGUGUGGUGUUAAUUUCCGUGGAAGAAGAAAAGGCUCGACUCUCUGUCCUAUUUUUCAUGAAUACUGGAAGUAGGGAAUAAACCUGGAGUCUCACGGGUGAAAAGAGACAUUUCCAUAUCACCAGACCACAAACGUGGGUGUUGAUUCUAAGGAUACCCCCAAUAAACAUCUUUCGUGCUAAAGCCCAUUCCAGAAUUUACUUCCCAGCUAUCUUUGAUGUUCAUAUUGUCAGAGGUGGUGGCCGCUGAAACAGGCAAAGACAUGGAGCAUAUCUUGGGUCCAGGUAAAGGAGGUGGGUGCACACAAGUGAAAAGAUGUUGCUGAAGUCACGUGGCUUCAAGCAGUAGAGCUGACUGUCCUCUAGUCCAGUUGUCCCUACAGGAUAAAAGCUUCUCUCCAUUACAGAGACCUUGGGAGUCCAGAGGAAGGUCUUUUUACCAUCAGCAUUCUCUACUGUGUUCAAUGACUGUCAGCCAAAGAUGGCCAGGUUCUCUACUGUGAUGGUGAAUUUUAUGUGUCAAUUUGACUGGACCAUGGGAUGCCCAGCUUUCCUUCAGAAAGAAAUGCAUUCAAAGAACCUACAUUCACAACAUAAAGAAAUAAAGCCUGCACCUACAGAUCUACACACAUGCCCAUGCACAUGCAGGAAGUGUUCAUCUAAGACUGGACCUUUUAGAAGAAAGCUGGCAUACAUUCGUGAAGGCAUGGGCUUCCAGGCAUGUCAUCUUCACUCACGAAGCACACACAAGACCGCCAAGCAUUAAGAUUCUCCUGUGGAGCCAGGCUACAAUCCUUUAAAUGAAGACAGACAGCUAGGUGGCUGCAGCCCAGCGCUACACCUCACCCCUCCCUCAGUGUCAUGCAGAAAAAAUGUAUUCAGAACUCAGAAGUGAAGUUGUGCAAAUCCAUCAUUGACACUAGCUUCAAGGUUACCUCGGGGGAGCAGAAUGUACCCCUGCCAGAGAGCUGGAUAGAUGAUGAUGGGGACAGAAAUUCUGGGGGAGUUGUAAAUGGCAGCCACUGCCUCUAUAGGAAACCCAAAGGGAACACAGCAGAAGAGGAGGUGGUGGAGGAGCCACUGCCCUCUCGAAGGGUUCAAUGUCAUUCUGCAGACACAACCAAAUAACUUUUUCUUCCCUGCUGCUCCUCCAUUUGAAAUGACAGCCCCGAGCUCGCUUUUUCCUUGAUUGUGUAACUCUGAUUACAGACAAGGCCAAGGCAAUCCCAGGGCAUUACUACAAAGCUAAGGGGUCCCCAAAGAACUAAAGAGUCAGCUCCACAAAAAUCCCGAUUCCUAGCAUGAAACUGAAAUAUGAAACCAAACGGGCAUAGAAAAGGUAUGUGCAUUCGAAUCACAUAGCAGUGACUGGAGUCCUGAGCUGUGUCUGAAGACUGUGAGAUCACGUUUGGAGCUGCUGAUUGGUUUUCAGUGAUGGCCCUGUUGCACAGUGCCGUGAGACUUAGCUCCAUGGCCAAAGACGAUGGUAUCCCCUAGGAGCCCUGUGAGGUUGCUGCUGUUCUCUUAAGACACCAGGUAGCCAUCUGAUCCUCCCUGAGCAAACUAACUGGGCAGACAGGUUUAUUAAACCUCUGUUGGUCCGACUUACAUGAAACAAGAGAGUUAUUUUGUUGUUGUUGUUUUGUUUUGUUUUAAAUUAAACCUGUCUUUGGAGCCUCCUGCUCUUAGUUUACAAGUCUUCUUUGCACACUCUAAUAUUUUAAGAAGCAGCAAACAUUAACUGAGGGUCUA